RNAcentral lists this ribosomal RNA (252 nucleotides) under uncultured bacterium. RNAcentral's name for it is "partial 16S ribosomal RNA". It matches the Rfam family "Bacterial small subunit ribosomal RNA", at positions 524 to 776 of the family's 1533-position model. The record is from RNAcentral.
UACGAAGGGGGCUAGCGUUGCUCGGAAUCACUGGGCGUAAAGCGCACGUAGGCGGCUUGUUAAGUCAGGGGUGAAAUCCUGGAGCUCAACUCCAGAACUGCCUUUGAUACUGGCGAGCUUGAGUCCGGGAGAGGUGAGUGGAACUGCGAGUGUAGAGGUGAAAUUCGUAGAUAUCGCAAGAACACCAGUGGCGAAGGCGGCUCACUGGCCCGGUACUGACGCUGAGGUGCGAAAGCGUGGGGAGCAAACAGG